CCCUUAGAUGUUCUGGGCCGCACGCGUGCUACACUGAGUGGAUCAGCGGGUCAGGUUGCGCGAAAGUGUUUCCUAAUCUUGAAAUCCGCUCGUGAUGGGGAUUGACGGUUGCAAUUUUCCGUCAUGAACGAGGAAUACCUUGUAAGCGCGGGUCAUCAUCCCGCGCUGAAUACGUCCCUGCCCUUUGCACACACCGCCCGUCGCUCCUACCGAUUGAGUGGUCCGGUGAGGCUUUGGGAUCUGAGCGGAAAGAGCGUUUCGCUGUUUCUGCUCGGAAAACUCAGUCGAACCUUAUCAUUUAGAGGAAGGAGAAGUCGUAACA
Molecule: ribosomal RNA, 322 nt
Filed under: uncultured eukaryote
Lineage: Eukaryota
Description: partial 18S ribosomal RNA
Rfam family: Eukaryotic small subunit ribosomal RNA
Source: RNAcentral